UCUCCCCCCUCCCCCCCCUCUCUCUCUCUCUCUCUCCGCAGAUAUUCACAGAUAGAGAAGGAGCAUUUCACUCCCCAUUUGACAAUCGAAGACAACAAACAACGUACUCUCCCUUAAUCUCUCCCACCAUUCCCGGUUUUUGCUCACCAUUGAUCUCUCUAUCUCCCUUCUUCUGCUUCCUGUCUCCUUCCUCUUCCGUCGGCGGUCAAGGGAACUCAGGCCGUUUCCUGUAUCUCUCUGUCUAUCUCCCUUAUCCUCACUUUCAAGGAUCAUAUCCACCUUCGUCUGUCAUAUAUUUAUUUGUCUUCUUCCGCCUUUGAUGCGCUUGAUCUUCAGUUCCCUCUUGUCUGUGGUUCGUUUUUCGUCCGCCCUUGUUGAAAAAAAUCUGCCUCCCCGUUCGACCUUUCUCACUGCCGUUGCUCCUGCACCUGGGUGUCCAAUUUCGGUGGGGGGAAUCCCUCGCGUUAUUCCUUUCUCCGGGUUCAUCUUUUCGCACACACUGUGAUUUGGAGGGUUUCUGGAGCGUGUGGGUGUUGGGAUUUGGAUUGAAGGAAGAGGCGGACGGUGGUACCGAAGAGUAGGGUGGGGAUCAAAGUCCCUUGGUGGAGUAAACGAGAAGAAGCAUCAACUUUUAGCCUCUAGUUGUGGAUAUAGAAUUUGGUCUGGAGAUUCUUGAAGAUCUUGGUUGUUCCAAUGGUGAAGUUCCGGUGGGAUCUUGACGGAAAAAGGCACCUGACGAGGGGAAAUUUUGCAAUUAGGGUUUUGUAUGUCAUCUCUUGGUGACUGAUUCCAUGUCUCGUUGCGGUGGAACGAGGAAUUCUAAGUUGGGAUAUGGAAGAAGGAUGUAGAUUAGGAUUGCUGGCGAAGGUUUUGCUUUGUGCCGGUGCCGUUUGGUGAUUCCAUUGUUUGAGCUUGUUGGACUCUAAAAAGUGGUCUCUAUCUAAGAGAAAUUGAAUUUGUUGGAGGUUGUUACUAUCCUGGAGCUGCUUUUCUGUGGCGUCGGUGUUGGGAAAUGCUUAAACUGCGUUUGCUGGAGGUGGACUUAAUCAGAUAUAAGUGGGUGAUGGUUAAACUGUCAGGUUUUCGUCAGACACGGCAUUGUGGGAUCCUGUUUUGGCUUAUUACAUAAAUGAAUCUUCUCCAACAGAUCUUAGGUUUAGCAUAAUAGUUUUCAUCUGCUUGCGUGCAAUCGUUUUCGGUGAUUUAUGUGAGUCGCUGGUAUAUCACGUUCUCCAAUUGAAGAGGGUGGUUCAUCAGUUUGGUAUCAUUGGUUCUGGAUUGAAAGUACUGGCGUUUGACUAACAAAUUCCAUUUAUAAGGUGGAUACAGAAAUGGUGCUUCUUUGAAGUUGGAAAUGAAACUGGGGACAUGGUGGAUGAACGAGAGCACGAGCGUUGGUUUGUUCCUCUUCCGGAACAGCAUUAUCGGCAGUUAAUUACAUUUGUGUGCUUGGCAAAAAAAAAAUAUAUUGCUGGUCAAAGGAUUUGCGUGCAAUGUCUCGCUGCUUUCCGUUCCCUCCACCAGGAUAUGAAAAGAAAACCAGAACUGGUGAUUUAGAUUCGUUAUUAAAGGAAAAGCACAAGGAGAAGAAGCAGAAGAAGGAAAAGAAAGACCGAGAAAAGAAAGAGAGCAAAGAUAAAAAAGUGAAGGACAGAAGCAAGGAAAAGCACAGGGAUAAGGACCGGAAGGAUAAGCAUAAGGACAAGAAGAGAGAUAAGGACAAGGAUAGACAUAAGACAGCAGAUGAGCAGCGAGGUGAAGAAAGAAAGGCAGAUGACACUCCUGGGAAGCUUGUGGAAAGAAAUCAUGCAGUGCAGGAGAAAAAAUUUACAGAUGAGUUCAUUAGGAGAAUCAGAGAUGAUGGAAAAAAGGCUGAAGACAUGGUUGGGCACUUCAAUGGGGUGCAGCAAAGACAAUUUGAUGGGACAGUCAGGACAAAAGAUAUUGAGGUUAAGGGAAAAAAUAGAGAAAACCGAAUUGAGGGGGCUGAGAGGCCAAAGGGCAUUGAGAACAAGGAGAAAAAUAAAGGUAGGAGAACAGAGGUUAUUGGUUGGUCGAAGGAGGACAUUGGAGAUAAGGCCAAGAACAAAGAACGGCAAACCGAGGGGGUCGAUAAGCCAAGCCAAGUAGUUGUGGUUAAAGACAAGAGAAAAGAAAGGCAACCAGAGGGGAUUGACAAGUCAAACGAGUAUAUUUUGGGUAAAGACUAUGACAAUGAAAGACAAGCUUUGGGGAUUCAUCGGCCAAAAGAGGACAUUGUUAGUAGUAAAAAGGUUAAAGAGAAGCAAAUUGAAGUUACAGAUAGAACAAAACCAGAUGUUAUUAGUAAAGACAAGGCCAAGGAAAUGCAGACGAAGGGGAUAGAGAGGCACAAAGCAGAUAUUACAGGUAAGGAGAAGGCCAAACAAAUGUAUAUUGGGGGUAUUAAUGGGCCAAAGGAGGUUGUUAUGGGUAGAGGAGAAAAUAAAGAAAAGGAAGUUAACACAAAGAAAGCAAAGCACAAGGAUAAAGCGCAAGGGCGAGAGGAGAAAAGUAAAUCAAAGGAUAAGAAGGAUGAGGAGGAGGAGAAGGUAGGACGGAUUGCUCAUAAGCAGAUAGAACAGAUAUUAGGAGAAAGUGGCAAUAAGCUGCAGUCGGGUACUUUUAGUGUUGCAGCAGUAUACCUUGGAAAGGACAUUACAAAUAAUGCUGGUCAGGAUCCAAACACCCGAAAGAGGAAGGAUUUGGAGAGGAAUGGAGUUCUCCAUGAUGAACUGCGACCUAAUAAGCUCCCAAGGGCAGCUUCUGGUGCCAUAUUGCCAUUGGAAAAUGGUUGUAGACCAGAAACCGUUCACAGUGCUCUUCAGCGCACCCCUGACAGACAGGGAGAAGCUGAUAACCGGAAGCUUGAAAGAGUAACUGAUGGCAAUGCAUGUAGUCCGUCUCCAUACAAUAAAGAUCGUAAAAUCAAUGGCAAAUUAGAACCUCGGCUUUCUAGCGUUAACCUACGGCCUUGUGCUGCAACUGUUGUAGACACCAGCAUCAGUGGCAGAGAACCUAUAAGACCGCCCCAUCCUGACUCUCAAUAUCUAAAUCAAAUUCUCACUGUGCCCAAAGUGCCUGAAUGGUCUGAUUUUGAUGACCAGGAGUGGCUGUUCAGUGACAAUAACAUUCAGACUAAGCCAAGUUUUCAGUCAGAGAUUGAUGGGACGCCGCAGGUAUGGGCAGAGACCUUGCACAUUGAGCCAGCUGACGUGCACGCUUUGCCAUAUGUUAUUCCCUAUUGAUAGCCGAGAUUGGGCUUGUAGCUUUUUUGUGCCGAGCCAGAGUUGCCCAUCAAAGGUAUGGCAAAGUGAAGGGCUAUGUCUUCUCUUGUUUGCAGUUAUGGUUUUGUUCUUUCAUGUAGAGAUGCCAACCUGUUAAGAGAGGAGACAUUUCCACAAAUGUUUAUUGAAAUGAGAUUAAGGCAUUCAUCACUGUCCUUCGGCUGAUAGGUUGCUGCGCAUUGCAGGGCUUGCGAUGAGUUCCCUGUGCUGCAUCUAAUAACUGAUGGAAAUUGAUCUCAAGGCUUAUUCAUGCUCAAAAGCUCCUUACAUGCGGCAGGCUACAAUAGCGAACUGUCUACAAGUGUCGGGAGCGAAUUGGCUUUCUUCAAGGGGCCGGUUGGGCCAACAGCUGUGAGGGUCUCUUAUGGGCAACAUCAAGUUCCUGUGCAAAGUUCCCUGUACAAACCUGAGCAAGCAUGACAUGAGCCCUAGCGACGAAGAUACUAGCGACUCUCAACCUCGGGCGGUCAACCUCGGGCGGUUCUCUGAAUAAGAAACGGAAGAAGAGAAAGGGGAAAACUGUGGCUUAUGUAAGGAUAGGGUUGCACCACCAUUGUCGGCUUGACAAGGCCGGUCUCCACUGGGUGGACUUCCAUUCUGCCUUUAAAGCAAAAAUUGAAUUUACAUCAUUACCAAACUGUUCCCUGUCACAUUAAUGUGUGAAAAUCUUAGAUUCAUACUUAGGUUAUAGGCGGUUCUACUGUUAUGGCGGCCAUGGUAACGCCUAA
Nymphaea colorata (pocket water lily) is the source of this 4033-nucleotide RNA transcript. RefSeq lists it as uncharacterized. The record is from RefSeq and is a predicted model, not a curated record. NCBI's taxonomy places the organism in Eukaryota, Viridiplantae, Streptophyta, Magnoliopsida, Nymphaeales, Nymphaeaceae. The transcript has 4 exons.